GACAUUUGGUGGAGACUGGUGAAGCCACCUGGUCCCAGCAGACCCCAGAGGGCAGUCACGUUCGCUGGUGCUAGGGAAGGUCAUUAAGGGUGAAGCCUGGUGCCAGAUGUGU
Molecule: ribosomal RNA, 112 nt
Organism: Panthera pardus (leopard)
Lineage: Eukaryota; Metazoa; Chordata; Mammalia; Carnivora; Felidae
Source: Ensembl